This 3163-nucleotide unclassified non-coding RNA is filed under the name Acanthaster planci (crown-of-thorns starfish). Its description in RNAcentral is "monocarboxylate transporter 12-like, transcript variant X2". The record is from RNAcentral. Lineage: Eukaryota; Metazoa; Echinodermata; Asteroidea; Valvatida; Acanthasteridae.
GUACGCGGUACACUCGAAUGUAACUCAAUGUUCAUGUACAUAUACAUUUACAUGUAUAUGUACGUUUGUAGCGGAACCACUCGCGCAACGGAUACCAGUUUCAAUGUUUCUCCGGUAUUAUAUGAUGCACAUUUUGUUUCUCAACAGCACCGCCAGCAGUAAGAUUGUGCGAUUUUUUCAUUAAACUCGAAGACACUGUUGAAAAAUUUCGGCAAAAUUACAAAAAAUACAGACGCGACACAGACGUGAUUUGGUGAUUAAUAUAUGAUGUAUUACAUAACACACUAAACGGUUUUUCAAAACUUUAAAAACUGUUGGAGUUGGUCUUUCAAAUCACACGAGAACACUUUCAGCAAUUUCUACAGUUCAUUGAUGCCAGAUGGAUGGACACGAACGUUGGCAGUGACGUCAAGCUACAACAGCCAACCUGACUUCAGCUGAUUACGGCACCCGUUCAGACUGUACCAAAGAGAGCUAGCGCGCGAUGAGUUUGCCGUACACUCGACUUGCUCGCGGUGUUCUCGCGACCAUCGCCUCCUUCGUGGUCUAUAUCCUUCACAGGACGGUGGUGAAGGCCUUGGGCAUGCUUUUGGUGGCAAUUCGGGAUGACUUCGAGACCGACACCUGGGUCGCUGGAACGGUGUUUUCCGCAACCGACUGCGUCACCGAUAUGACUGGUCCAAUAGUGGGACCCAUAGGCAAGCGCUUCGGUUAUCGAAGAGUCUGCAUGUUUGCCGGGGCGAUGACUGCUGCUGCCGUCAUCGUGGCUUCACAGGCACCGAGUUUUCUGCUAUUGGCAAUCCCACUCAUCGGACCAGCAGCUCUUGGACGCAGCGUUGUCAUCAUACUCGUCUGUGCAACCCUCAGCAAACAUCUGGACAACAGAGAAUUUGCUCUGGCAUCGGGAAUUGCAAAAACGGGCGCCGCCCUGGGCUACACCGCCAUACCGCCGGUGGUGCAGCUAUGCCUGGAUACAUAUGGAUGGAGGGGAACCCUGCUGAUCUUGGGUGCACUAUGCGCUCACUUGGUAGUGUGCGGCGCUUUGAUCGUAUCCUCAGAAACAGGGGACGCCGGAACAAAUCUUAAAAGUGGCUACCAGUCACUGUCAAAUGACGACACAUGCCCUGACACAGAAGGAUUACAGCAAGAACCGAAUCCACAACGCCUCCUGCUGCCACUGAAGUCCUUCUAUCAACGCGUGGAGGCUGCUAUUGGUCUAUCCGUGAUAUUUGACUUUAACUUUUGGAGAGCGACACAAAUAAAUAUCAUAAGUAAGAUUGCACUGAUGGCCUGGGUAAUUUAUUUUGUACCACACGCAGAAAACAGGGGAUUUUCGGGAGAAACUGCUGCGCUGAUGGUUACAGUAGCAGGAGUGGGUCAUCUUGCUGGCAUCCUUAUCGGUAGCUUGCUUGUUUUUAAAGGAAUCCUGUCCAGUAUGGGCUGCCUUAUGUUAGCGAUUCCUUUCACUGCAGUGCCGCUAUGCAUCGAUACCUGGAUGACCAGUAGGUGGUUAAUGACGGCCAAUGCCACGGUUCUCAUGCUCGCCCUUGGCUGCUCGUUCACGAUGUCCACGGUCGUGCUGAAGGACGUACUCGGAGACGAGAAAUUCACUUCCGCCAUCGGUUGGAUGACUUUCUUCUCUGGCCUCUUCAAAUUGCUGGGUGGCUUCAUUCCAGGUGAAGAAAACACCCCCUAACCACGCUUCCCGAUCAAUAUAUCCCAGAGAAAUAUAAAAUCUCCGUAUUGGAGACGAAUUCGGUACCUUUUCCUCGGAUUUUCCUAUGGUACUCUGUAAUGUUGGAAAGCAAUAUGUUUGGUACAGUACAAUAGUUGUAUUACAGUGGGUUACCGCCAUUGGCAGGGGCCAAAGCUACUUUACUAGUGACGGCAUUUCCGUUCUCUUCAUUUUGUCCCCAGCCCUUCAUUUGUUUAUUGGCUUUUUCGCAAGUUGCAAAAAAUGCAUUACUUUUGUUUUUUUUCUUUGGCUUGUUUGCAAGCUGGAAAAAGGCAUUAUAUGUACUUCUGUUCUGCUGUUUGGCUUUUGUGCAAGUUCCGAAAAAGGCACUCUGUUUGUUCCUUUUUUUUUCUUCAUCAUCUUCAUCUGCCCAAAUCCCCUUCCUUUGUACACGUUUCUUCCACCACCAUCUUUAGUCCCUUAGAAACUUUAGAUCUCCAUCAAACUUACAUCAGUGAAGGACCCUUGUGUAAAAAUGUAUCUAUAACAAUGACGUAAUGAUUACUUUGUCUAGUGAUUUAUUAUUGAUUUUUUAAUAGUUAUUUCAGCCCAUUGACUUUGUACACGUUUUCAUGACACUAUUUUGGUCAUUUGCUGACCUUCAAUUGUAACCAAAGUUACAGCCGACAAAGACCCUGAUACAAAAUAAGUCCAAAUUUAUGACGUCAUGAUGCCAUUAUAAUUUUUUAAAUUGAUCUUUUAAUAUUUAAUUUGCCCCAUAGGUUUUGUACAAGUUUUUCAAGUGCCAGACAUUGGGACUUUGUUUACUAUAAUUGAUUUCAUAUUGGUGAACACUUGUAGUCGCCCACGUAGAGAGGGUCCCACACCAGAAUCGUCAUAAUGGCAUUAUCAGGGGUCACGUGACAUGAGAUUAAGGAGGCAUUUUUUCCAUAGGUUUUGUACACGUUGUUUUUACUUCACUUUACACGUGACGAGUCACGUGACAUUAAGGGUGCACUUUUCAAAGCACUUUAUCUCGUGACGUUUAUAUCUGGCUGAAUUUAAACCUUGCAGAUAUCUUGAAAGGGGAAGGCUUUAGACGAACAUAGACCUUAAGUGAUGAUGACGUCAUCAUGUGACAUGUGACGUGACAUUACAGGUGCACUCUUCAAAACACUAUAUCUUGUUAAGUACAUGUCUGAUUGGUUUGAACAUUGCUGAGAUCUUGAAUGGAAGUGAUUACAACGGGUAUUGACCUGAUGUGAUGACGCCAUCAUGCAGGUCACUUGGUAUGUGGAAUGUACAAAGCACCAUAUCUUCUUAAUUGCAUGUCGUAUUGUGUUCAAACUUUGCUGAUAUCUUGAAAGGAUAGUGACGUAGGAGAAUAUUGACCUCAUGCGGAGUGACAUCAUCAGGUUGGGUGUUUGAUCACAGCGGCAGCUUUGAGGUUGGAUUCGCCAUCAUAGGCGCUACGCAGUUCAUACCGUU